This 1501-nucleotide small RNA is filed under the name Pan troglodytes (chimpanzee). Its description in RNAcentral is "processed transcript". The record is from RNAcentral. Lineage: Eukaryota; Metazoa; Chordata; Mammalia; Primates; Hominidae.
AACAGUAAUACCACAGAGUCAGAGUGCUGUGUCCUGGAGCCCAUGGGGAAUGGGAGGUAGGAGGGAGAGACCAGGACUUUUCAGAGCCAAGAGCCGGAACAAUCACUAAUCCUGUACAGUUCCCAGUUGCCUCCCACUGCUGUGAUUGGACAUUUGGAUGUAUUUUUUAUGUCUCUUAACCUUCAUUAACUGUGCCUAUGUCAAAUGGGGAACCCUGGUACAAGAUAUUUUCACCUAUGCUAAAGUAUUGGCACUGAUCGCGGUCAUCGUUGCAGGCAUUGUUAGACUUGGCCAGGGAGCCUCCACUCAUUUUGAGAAUUCCUUUGAGGGUUCAUCAUUUGCAGUGGGUGACAUUGCCCUGGCACUGUACUCAGCUCUGUUCUCCUACUCAGGCUGGGACACCCUCAACUAUGUCACUGAAGAGAUCAAGAAUCCUGAGAGGAACCUGCCCCUCUCCAUUGGCAUCUCCAUGCCCAUUGUCACCAUCAUCUAUAUCUUGACCAAUGUGGCCUAUUAUACUGUGCUAGACAUGAGAGACAUCUUGGCCAGUGAUGCUGUUGCUGUGACUUUUGCAGAUCAGAUAUUUGGAAUAUUUAACUGGAUAAUUCCACUGUCAGUUGCAUUAUCCUGUUUUGGUGGCCUCAAUGCCUCCAUUGUGGCUGCUUCUAGGCUUUUCUUUGUGGGCUCAAGAGAAGGCCAUCUCCCUGAUGCCAUCUGCAUGAUCCAUGUUGAGCGGUUCACACCAGUGCCUUCUCUGCUCUUCAAUGGUAUCAUGGCAUUGAUCUACUUGUGCGUGGAAGACAUCUUCCAGCUCAUUAACUACUACAGCUUCAGCUACUGGUUCUUUGUGGGGCUUUCUAUUGUGGGUCAGCUUUACCUGCGCUGGAAGGAGCCUGAUCGACCUCGUCCCCUCAAGCUCAGCGUUUUCUUCCCGAUUGUCUUCUGCCUCUGCACCAUCUUCCUGGUGGCUGUUCCACUUUACAGUGAUACUAUCAACUCCCUCAUCGGCAUUGCCAUUGCCCUCUCAGGCCUGCCCUUUUACUUCCUCAUCAUCAGAGUGCCAGAACAUAAGCGACCGCUUUACCUCCGAAGGAUCGUGGGGUCUGCCACAAGGUACCUCCAGGUCCUGUGUAUGUCAGUUGCUGCAGAAAUGGAUUUGGAAGAUGGAGGAGAGAUGCCCAAGCAACGGGAUCCCAAGUCUAACUAAACACCAUCUGGAAUCCUGAUGUGGAAAGCAGGGGUUUCUGGUCUACUGGCUAGAGCUAAGGAAGUUGAAAAGGAAAGCUCACUUCUUUGGAGGCACCUGUCCAGAAGCCUGGCCUAGGCAGCUUCAACCUUUGAACUUACUUUUUGAAAUGAAAAGUAAUUUAUUUGUUUUGCUACAUACUGUUCCAGACUUUUAAAGGGGACAAUAAAGGUGACUGUGGGGAGGAGCAUGGCAGGUUUGGGCUUGGUUGUUUUAGAAGCACCUGGGUGUGCCUACCUACUCCUCUUUUCUUUU